UACGGGGGGGGCAAGCGUUGUUCGGAAUUACUGGGCGUAAAGGGCGCGUAGGCUGUUUCGUAAGUCUCUCGUGAAAUCCCACGGCUUAACCAUGGAAUUGCGGGAGAUACUGCGAGGCUAGAGUCCGGGAGAGGGAAGUGGAAUUCCCAGUGUAGCGGUGAAAUGCGUAGAUAUUGGGAGGAACAUCGGUGGCGAAGGCGGCUUCCUGGACCGGUACUGACGCUGAGGCGCGAAAGCCAGGGGAGCAAACGGG
RNAcentral lists this ribosomal RNA (253 nucleotides) under uncultured bacterium. RNAcentral's name for it is "partial 16S ribosomal RNA". It matches the Rfam family "Bacterial small subunit ribosomal RNA", at positions 524 to 776 of the family's 1533-position model. The record is from RNAcentral. RNAcentral also lists the same sequence under 1 other name.